AGAGUUUGAUCCUGGCUCAGGAUGAACGCUAGCGGCAGGCUUAACACAUGCAAGUCGAGGGGUAACAUUGUAGCUUGCUACAGAUGACGACCGGCGCACGGGUGCGUAACGCGUAUACAAUCUACCUUUUGCUGAGGGAUAGCCCAGAGAAAUUUGGAUUAAUACCUCAUGGUAUGUAUUGAUGGCAUCAUUAAUAUAUUAAAGGUUACGGCAAAAGAUGAGUAUGCGUCCUAUUAGCUAGAUGGUAAGGUAACGGCUUACCAUGGCUACGAUAGGUAGGGGCCCUGAGAGGGGGAUCCCCCACACUGGUACUGAGACACGGACCAGACUCCUACGGGAGGCAGCAGUGGGGAAUAUUGGACAAUGGGGGCAACCCUGAUCCAGCAAUGCCGCGUGUGUGAAGAAGGCCUGCGGGUUGUAAAGCACUUUCAGUAGAGAAGAAAAGCCCACGGCUAAUACCCGUGAGUCUUGACGUUACCUACAGAAGAAGCUCCGGCUAACUCCGUGCCAGCAGCCGCGGUAAUACGGAGGGAGCGAGCGUUAAUCGGAAUUACUGGGCGUAAAGCGCGCGUAGGCGGCUUUGUAAGUCGGAUGUGAAAGCCCUGGGCUCAACCUGGGAAUGGCAUUCGAUACUGCAGAGCUAGAGUAUGGUAGAGGGAAGUGGAAUUUCCGGUGUAGCGGUGAAAUGCGUAGAUAUCG
RNAcentral lists this ribosomal RNA (699 nucleotides) under uncultured bacterium. RNAcentral's name for it is "bacterial SSU rRNA". It matches the Rfam family "Bacterial small subunit ribosomal RNA", at positions 8 to 699 of the family's 1533-position model. The record is from RNAcentral.